This 589-nucleotide long non-coding RNA is filed under the name Salmo salar (Atlantic salmon). RNAcentral describes it as "lncRNA (ENSSSAG00000115734.1)". The record is from RNAcentral. Lineage: Eukaryota; Metazoa; Chordata; Actinopteri; Salmoniformes; Salmonidae.
CAGAAAAUACCUCAUCCCUACUGUAAAACAUGGAGGUGGAUCUUUGAUGUUUGAAUGAAAAGCACGACUGUUGGUAUGACAUCCUACACUACUUGCUGGAGCUGGGGGAGGAUUUAAUGAAACAGGUAUGGAGGUUUCAAUUUCACGUCAUUAGAGAACUUGCUCCUGAACUGAGCAGGGUAGUUCAGUCCUCACAGAUCAGAAACAUCUCCCUCCUGACCAGAGUGACUGAGGAUGGAUCUUGUCAAGAGGAGCGUCAAGACGUCAUACUGCAGUGGGCUGAGGAACUGAAUCACUCACCACAGACUGGACAGGACAAUGACCCAACACACCUCAAGGCUGUGUAAGGGCUAUUUUACCAAGAAGGAGAGGGAUGUAGUGCUGCAUCAGAUGACCUAGCCUACACAAUCACCCGACCUCAACCAAAUUGAGAUGGUUUGGGAUGAGUUGGACUGCAGAGUGAAGGAAAAGCAGCCAACAAGUGCUCAGCAUAUGUGGGAACUCCUUCAAGCAUUCCAGGUGAAACUGGCUGAGAGAAUGCCAAGAGUGUGCAAAGUUGUCAUCAAGGCAAAGGGUGGCUACUGUGAAG